GACGAACGCUGGCGGCGUGCUUAACACAUGCAAGUCGAACGGAAAGGCCCUGCUUUUGUGGGGUGCUCGAGUGGCGUACGGGUGAGUAACACGUGAGUAACCUGCCCUUGACUUUGGGAUAACUUCAGGAAACUGGGGCUAAUACCGGAUAGGAGCUCCUGCUGCAUGGUGGGGGUUGGAAAGUUUCGGCGGUUGGGGAUGGACUCGCGGCUUAUCAGCUUGUUGGUGGGGUAGUGGCUUACCAAGGCUUUGACGGGUAGCCGGCCUGAGAGGGUGACCGGCCACAUUGGGACUGAGAUGCGGCCCAGACUCCUACGGGAGGCAUCAGUGGGGAAUCUUGCACAAUGGGCGGAAGCCUGAAGCAGCAACGCCGGGUGCGGGAUGGCGGCCUUCGGGGUGUAAACCGCUUUCGCCUGUGACGAAGCGUGAGUGACGGUAAUGGGUAAAGCAGCACCGGCUAACUUCGUG
Molecule: ribosomal RNA, 468 nt
Filed under: uncultured bacterium
Lineage: Bacteria
Description: partial 16S ribosomal RNA
Rfam family: Bacterial small subunit ribosomal RNA
Source: RNAcentral